Molecule: non-coding RNA, 528 nt
Organism: Pelmatolapia mariae (spotted tilapia)
Lineage: Eukaryota; Metazoa; Chordata; Actinopteri; Cichliformes; Cichlidae
Source: the annotation of a RefSeq genome assembly
UUUUGGUGGAGGAACCAAACUCAUCGUUGACUUGGGUGUGGUGAGGCCCAUGCUCACUGUCCUCCCUCCCUCCAAAGAAGAAGACAACCAAAGUAGUGCCACUCUGGUGUGUUUGGCCACCGGGGGCUUCCCCUCAAACUGGAAGCUGGGCUGGAAGGUGGGGAGCACCAGCACAUCCUCAGGGGUUUCAACCAGCCUGGAGGUCUUGGGGACAGACGGCCGCUACAGCUGGAGCAGCACCCUGAGCCUCUCUGCAGACCAGUGGAGGAAGGCGGGCUCAGUGAGCUGUGAGGCCAGUCUAGGUGGACAGUGCCCCGUCACUCAAACCCUGGACCCUGACCACUGCUCAGAGUAGAACUUCAGCAACACCUCCUGUUUGCAUAUGAUGUGUUUGAUGAAGCUACAUGUUUCGUUUGUUCUCAUUUUCAUGACUCUCUAUUGUCUAUUGUGCAUGCAGAUGUCAUCUGUUUAUUCAUAUUGUGUUUUCAAACCAUGCUAUAAAAAGCAAGUCUGCAGCACAAAAUAAAA